UACGUAGGGGGCGAGCGUUGUCCGGAUUUACUGGGCGUAAAGCGCGUGUAGGCGGUCCCUUUAGUCGGGUGUGAAAGCCCGGGGCUCAACCCCGGGACGCCGCCCGAUACUGGGGGACUUGAGGACGGAAGAGGGGAGUGGAAUUCCUGGUGUAGCGGUGAAAUGCGUAGAUAUCAGGAGGAACACCCGUGGCGAAGGCGGCUCCCUGGUCCGUUUCUGACGCUGAGACGCGAAAGCGCGGGGAGCGAACGGG
Molecule: ribosomal RNA, 253 nt
Filed under: uncultured bacterium
Lineage: Bacteria
Description: partial 16S ribosomal RNA
Rfam family: Bacterial small subunit ribosomal RNA
Source: RNAcentral